GCUUACGGCCACACAGCCUGGUUCACUCCUGAUCUCGUUUGAUCUCGGAAGCUAAGAUAGGUUGGGCCUGGUUAGUACUUGGAUGGGAGACCGCCUGGGAAUACCAGGUGCUGUAAGCU
RNAcentral lists this ribosomal RNA (119 nucleotides) under Scophthalmus maximus (turbot). The record is from RNAcentral. Lineage: Eukaryota; Metazoa; Chordata; Actinopteri; Pleuronectiformes; Scophthalmidae.